This 253-nucleotide ribosomal RNA is filed under the name uncultured bacterium. Its description in RNAcentral is "partial 16S ribosomal RNA". It matches the Rfam family "Bacterial small subunit ribosomal RNA", at positions 524 to 776 of the family's 1533-position model. The record is from RNAcentral.
UACGGAGGGUGCUAGCGUUGUUCGGAAUCACUGGGCGUAAAGCGCGUGUAGGCGGCCCACUAAGUCUGAUGUGAAAGCCCGGGGCUCACCCCCGGAAGUGCAUUGGAAGCUGGUGGACUCGAGUCCCGGAGAGGAGGGUGGAAUUCCUGGUGUAGCGGUGAAAUGCGUAGAUAUCAGGAGGAACACCGGUGGCGAAGGCGGCCCUCUGGACGGUGACUGACGCUGAGGUGCGAAAGCGUGGGGAGCGAACAGG